RNAcentral lists this long non-coding RNA (11015 nucleotides) under Olea europaea subsp. europaea. The record is from RNAcentral. Lineage: Eukaryota; Viridiplantae; Streptophyta; Magnoliopsida; Lamiales; Oleaceae.
UUCACAGUGUAACUGGAUACUACCGUUCAAGAACUGGUUAUUUCAUAAAUAUCUCCUAAUAUAUAAAUAAAGCAAAAGGACCCAGAAAUAUCUCCUAGUAUAUAAAUUAAAUAAAAGGACUCAGAAAGAAGAUUGACCUUGUACAUUUCCUCUCUCCAACACUUUCGUUUCAUAAUUUCAUUGCAAAAUUUGGCAGCCAUCUUUUCGUCGCACCUUCGUCGCCUACCACCACCAGGUAUCGUGUCUCUUAGCCCAUCUCAAAACUUUAGUCUCCUCCAAAUUUUUCCACUCUUGAAACUGAUUUUCGAUCAUCGAUUGAUUUGAAUGGUUUAUAUAUGAGCAUGAGUUCUCAUCAAUUUAAUUUUGUGGGUUUCUCCAUGUGUGACACUGACAAAUCAAGUGUUUGAUUUUAUUUGUUUUUUAAUUGAUUUGGGUUUUAAUAGAUUGGCACAAAUGGGGUGGGUCUGAAGUUGAUUUCAAUUUUUAUAGUUUGUUGAUAAAAGGAAUGCAAACGAAAUUAUUGGAUCGAGAUGGGUUAUGAUUUACAAGUGUUUUUCUUGAAUUAGGAAAGAUGGGUUUGAAGAAAAAGAGAAGUAAAUCCUCCUGAAGAUGAAAUGGAGAUAGUACUAAUGGAAGAUAUAAUUGAAGAGUAGAAGCGAUGAGAGAUAAGGAUGAUGGAGAAGAAUUUAAACAAAAGAAAAUUGUCUUCUUUGUAUUGGAUUCCACUUGCCAGCAGAAUUCCUCUACUUUCAAGGCAAUAAUGGAAGAAAAUUAUGUUGGUUUUCAUUUUAUGCCAUAUUUAUGUUAAAAAAAUAUAUCACUUUUUUUGAACUUUUUAAGUUUCUAAACGAGACGUUUAAUUGUUUAGACAUGUCCCUAUUUGACAUAAAUUAAAAUUUUGAUUUUAUUUACACAAAAUAGGGGCAAUAUUAGAGCAUACAAGUAUUUUAAGUUCAUGUCUUGUCUCUUUAUCAACUUUUGAAAAUCAUGUAUGUUUUAGGUUUUCAUAGAAAAAACUGAAUAUGGCCCGAACAGCGUCAAGGAUGUUUAAACAAUAUCAAACAAAGUUUAUCAAUAGAAUAGAAUAUGAUUAAAGAAAUAAAUAUGUAGCAUAGUUUAUGGAUUAUCGUCUUUUUAAUGAUGAAGCUUGAAGCAAGCUUUAUAAAUAUGAUAUAUGUUUUAGGGCUUUGACACGAAAAUUGAAUUCGGGCCUAGAUAGACGUCAAGGGGUGUUUAAGCACUAUGAAAUAUAAUUUAUUAAUAGAACAUAAUAUGAUUAAAGAAGAAAAACCUGUGAGUCAAUUUACCGAUUAUCCACAUCCACUCCAAAUUCCUAAACCCACUCAUAAUCUUGUUCACAAUUUUAAAACGCACCUCAAAAAUCAACCAUAAGUACUUAAUUUGGCAGCAAAUUAUUGCAGAAUAAUUUGUGGGCUUGACUUAUAUUCACAGUUAAGCAUACGAAGGUGAUGAAUGAAGAAUCAGGUCAACAGUUUGUAUAAGUGUAAUUGAAGCAAUUUUGGAAAAAUGACGCUGUGUAUUAGUAAAUUGUAUUGCAAAAUAGGAAGAAUAAAGUGGGAUUUGUAUUUGUUAGGGACAGGAAAAAUGAGAAAUGUAGUUGAAGUGGACCUACAUUUUUUAUGAUUAUAAGGACUCGUCAUUUUUCAGAUCGCUGGCUCAACCUUUCCAGGUGUUUUGAUUUGUAUUGAUGAGAUGGUGGUGGUUGAGUUUGAGUGGGUUGUUGGACUUUGGUAAGUGAAGAUCUUAUAGCUUCGUGAAUAAGAGCUUUUGGUUCAAGAAGUGUUGUAUGUUGGAUCAGAGAUGUAAUUUUCCUAAUUACACUAUGUUGAGUAAUAUCAGAAUACAUGAAAGUUGAAUUAACCAAAGGCUUUCUUAUAUGAUUAAGAAUAAUUUUUUAAAUGGUGUAUGGUUUAAAUAAAUUACUCACAAUAAAAGUUGAAUGAGCACUUGAAACAGUGUGAAAAACUUUAAGGUUGAUACAGUAUUGGUAUGGAGUUUGGUUUAAGGUUUCUCUGCAAAAGAGAUUUGGUGUGGCUAGGAAUUAUAAUGAUGAGAUUUGAAAACAUGGAUUUGCUUUUUGUCGAACAAUAAUGGCAUGUUGGGUGUUAUUUGGUAAUCUUGAGUAUGUUCCUUUGUAAUUUUUCUUAUGCAUUUUUUGUUCGAUUUUGUUAAUGUCUACUUUCAACUUUUAAUUUUUCCUACUGUCUUUGUUUGUAGCUUUGUGAAAGUUACAGAAUAUAGCAGAAGAUUAACAUUGAAAUUGAAGAAUAAUAUUUUUAGGUAGGUAGAUUCUAUAUUUGCUUUGGUUGAGGGUCAUUUAUGUUUUUAGAAUAAUUCGUUUUAGCUGUAGAUUAUUCUUAAUUUGAGCUUCUAAUCUUCUAUAUGUUUGAACUAAUCAUUGUACUUUGAGUAAUUAUGUGUAUGAUAUUUGAUUGUAUUUUUAGUUGGUGAAAUUUACAACUGCAGAAGUAUAGUCUUUGUCGUGUAACUUUUUAAAUUUUUUUCUUUCAAACAAUUGUAUUUUUUUUAAUCGUGGAAUUCGCGAUUGCAAUAGUACGGUCUUUGUUAGGUAACUUUUUUCUAAAUAAUUUUUUUCCUUAUAAUUGAUUCUUCAGAGGUUUGUAUAGUAGGUUUAUUUUGAUCACUUGUUAUAGUAAGUUGUAUUUUUAAAUUUCUAAUAAGGUUAUUAGUUGUUAUGCUUUGUUUGUGGACUGUAUGAAUCCUCCAUUUAGUUGGUUUCUUUGGACGAUGAAAAAUAGGCUUGCAGACUCUAAUAAAUUUUCCUAAGAUUCUGUGCAAUUUAUGAGAGCCUAAUAUAAGAGGUCCAUUGAAAAGUCAAUUAUGACAUUCUUAUUUUUCUUUGCAUUUUAUGAUUUAUUACGCCGUUGAAAAAUUUCAAUCUUAUUUCUUCAUAGAUUAUAAUGAUUAGAUUUUUUAUUUUUUUUAAUUUCAUCGAAGAUUUUAUUUCUAGUCAAUAAGAAUGGUCCUCCUCAUGUAAUGAGCGUAAUUGCUUAUCUUAUUCAUAGUAUUAUAAAGAUAGCCAAAAUUACAUUUCACAUUUAUAAUAAACGUUUAGAAGCCUUGUAAAGUAAAUUUUUAGUCAUCGUUUAGAUCAUUUUUUUAUUUUGUAAAGUUUACUUUUAGCUUAUAUAUAAUUUAACAUGUGGUAUUUUUUUCAGUAUUUUUAGUUCCUGUUGCUCAAGUUGGAUUCCGAUUGUCCAACAAUUUACCUUAGUGUUCUAAUGGAUAUUUUCGAAACACGUGCUGAUGGAGAGCCUGAUUUAAUUAACCCUCAAAUUAUUUCUGAAAGUACAAACGAGUCAUACCGUGCCUUCAUUCGCCAACAACAUAAUCAAAGAGAAAGGGAGUGGCGAAAUCGAGUUAAAAUUGGGUGCAUUGAUCGUCACAAAAGGAUUACUGACCCUAUGUUAUGUGGAAAUAAUAAUUCUAGUACUGUCCAAAUGCAUGAAUCUACUAUAAACGAUCAUUCUAAAGCUUCUACUUCAAAUAAAGGAACAACUUAUAUUUCCAAUUCUGAAGUAGAAGAAAGUUCUAAGAUAUUGAUUAUAUCAAGUACUGCAUAUGUAUUACCAACAUGCAUUGACUGUAAGCAUUGUGGUGCACGAAAAUUUUAUAGAGAAAGUAAAGGUUUUUGUUGUUCUGAUGGAAAAGUUAAGCUCUUUAUGCCAAAAUCACCAAUUGAAUUUUACGACUUGUUUACUUCUAAAGAUCCUAUAUAUAUAUGGAAUUCAAAAAAAAUGCAAGAGGAUAUAAAAAUCAUUUUGCGUUCACAUCGUUCGAUGUAAAGCAGAUAGAGAACUUUUGAAAACAUAUAGAGCUAUUUACACAUUUAGGGUUCAGGGACAAGUAUAUCAUUAUAUAAAUCAACUUAUGCCUUAGAAUAAUACGCUUUCUUACAUGCAAUUAUAUUUUUAUGAUACAGAUAAUGAGCUUCAAAAUCGUAUGAAAAUUUCAGAGAAUUUCAUUGAAUCUACUUUAAUUACCUUAAUUGAAAUUCUUAAAGUAAAUUCAUAUAGUAGAUUCUUUAGGUCUUUAAGUGAUAUGACUAAUUUACAUGAUCAUCGAAUACAUAUAAGAUGUGAUCCAAGAGUUGAUCAAAGAGUCUUCAAUACUCCUACAACAUUUCAAGUAGCUAUUGUUUGGGUUGAAGAUGAUGAAAAUGCAAAUGUUCACAUUCGUGAUAUUACUAUAUAUGGUCAUUAUGGUGAUUCACACAGGUUUCACUAUUACUAUAGUUGUUAUGAUCCUUUGCAAUAUCCUUUGAUUUUUCCAUAUGGUGAAUCUGGUUGGCAUGAAGGUAUUGAGAGAUGUAGAAGCACAUACUUUUAGCCUCAACAUUUGCCCGACUCUAUUGCUUUUCCUAGCACAAUUAAUUCUGCAGCUGAAAUUCUCGAAAAAGAGGAUACAGGUUAGUGAAUGCACCUUUUAGUAAAUUUUACACCUUCUGUAAUGUGAAUGUCGCAAAUGAAUAUUGAAAUUGAUACUUUGUUACAUCAUGCAGUGCUCAAUGGAACGAAAAAACGGUCUCAGGUUUCUUGCCGAGAAUACUAUUCGUACAAAUUACAAAUUAGACUUUUUGGUACGUUCAUGUUACUUCACACUGGUAGGCUAUUUCAACUAUAUGUUGUAGAUAUGUAUGUUAAGAUUGAAAUUACUAGAUUAGAUUAUUUUCGUAAUAACCAAAAAAAAAAUUUGUGCUGAACUUUAUCAAGGCAUUGUAGAUAGUGUUCAAAAUGGAGAGACAAGAGGGUGCAAAAUUAGACGGAAGCUUGUUUUACCACAAUCUUUUACAUGUGGCUCUAGAGAUUUGCUAAGGAGAUACAUGGAUGCGAUGGCUAUUGUACAACGUUAUUGAAAAUCAGAUGUAUUUUUUUACUAUAACAUGUAAUCCAAAUUGGCCAGAAAUCAAGCGAGAACUAAGACACAAUGAAGAGGUUCUGAAUCGACCAGAUCUAAUCACGCGUAUAUUUAGAGCAAAAUUAGAAGAGUUGAAAAACGAUUUAUGUAGGGAAAAUGUAUUAGGCCCCGUUGCUGCUUUGAAUUUCAAAAAAGAGGGCUUCCUCAUACACAUCUAUUGUUGAUUUUUAAAUGCGGCUACAAAAUUUGUUGUGCUGAAGAGGUUGAUAAGAUAGUAUCUUGUGAAAUUCCUAACAAACCAAAACACCCCAUCUUCAUUCAAUUAUUUUUAAACAUAAUAUGCAUGGUCCUUGUGAAAAUUUAAAUCCUAAAAAUGUAUGUAUGGAAACAAAUACUGGUUGUAAAAAUAAAUAUCUGAGGGAUUAUUGUAAUACUACUAUAUUUUGCGAUAACUCAUAUCCAUUAUAUAGGCAACGUAAUAAUGGUAUUUCUAUUAAAGUUAUGGGUCAAAUGUUUAACAAUCGUUGGGUCGCACCAUACAAUCCUUAUUUAAGUGCGAAAUUUGACUGCCACAUCAAUGUUGAAGUAUGUUCUUCUAUCAAAACUGUAAAAUAUUUGUAUAAAUAUGUGUACAAAGAAUAUGAUUGUAUUAAUUUCUUCGCUGACACAAAUAAAACAAAUGAGGAAAUCGAUGAAAUUUUUGUUUAUCAAUCUGCUAAAUGGAUAUCUCCACCUGAGGUUAUGUGGAGAAUUUUUUCUUUCAAUUUGUCAGAUAUUUAUCCAUAUGUUUAUUCUUUACAGUUUCAUAUUGAGGAUCAUCAAUAAAUAACAUAUAUUGAUCAUGAUGAUUUAUCUACUAUUAUUGAAAAAGAAAAUACGAGAAGAACUAUGUUAACUGAAUUCUUUCUAAUGAAUGAAGAAAAUGAACUUGUUCGUACAUUGUUGUAUCGAGAUUUCCCAAAAUAUUUUGUCUGGAAUGCAAAUAACAAAAUUUGGACUCCUAGAAAGAAACAAAUUGUUAUAGGACGAAUUGUAAUAGCUAAUUCUUCUGAAGGAGAACGAUAUUUCCUCCGCAUUCUUCUUAAUCAUAUUAGAGGAUCAGUAUCAUUUCGUGAUUUACGAACUUUAAAUGGGAUAACUGUUGCUACAUAUCGAGAAGCAACACUUUUAUAUGGUUUAUUAAGCGGAGACAAUCAUUUUGAAGAAUGUAUAUUUGAAGUUAUUGUUUUACGAAAUGCCUACUCUUUUAAAACGUCUCUUUGCUACACUUCUUACACUUUGCAAUCCUAACCAUCCAAAGUUCUUGUGGGAUAAGUUUAAGGUUUAUAUGUUUGAUGACUAUGUACAUCAAAAUAUACCUAAGGAGAUUGUGGAACUACGGGCUUUAGAAGACAUUAGUUCUAUUUUGGAAUCAUUAGGUAAGAACAUAAAUGAUUAUGUCAUGGUGCCAUUCAAUGUAAAUAUAUAUGAAACUGAAAGGUUGAGAAGAAUGGUUGAAGAGGAGACAACUAAUUUUGAUAUUGAAGGGGGUCUUGCUUGUGCUGCAAUAUUAAAUAAAGAACAAGAGUUUGCAUAUGAUAUAAUUAUGGAAAAAGUAAAAUCUGAAUCGAGCGGUGCUUUCUUCAUCGAGGGUCCAGGUGGGACAGGAAAAACAUUUUUAUAUAAAGCACUCCUAACUGGUGUAAGGUCACAAAAUUUAAUUGCUUUGGCAACUGCAUCAUUUGGAGUAUCUGCAUCUCUUUUAUCUGGAGGUCGAACGGCUCAUUCAAGAUUUAAAAUUCCUUUAAAAAUAGUUGGUGAAAUAAAAUGUUCUGUUAGCAGGCAAUCAACUUUAAGAAGUUUGUUGAAAAUGUCUAGGUUGAUCAUUUGGGAUGGAACACCGAUGGUAAAUCGUUUUGCUGUUGAAGCUGUAGAUAAGAUGUUUAGAGAUAUUACCGAUUAUAACUUGCUUUUUGGUGGAAAAGUAGUAGUUCUUGGAGAAAAUUUUCGUCAAGUUCUACCAGAGGUGCCAAAAGGGGAAAAAUGACAUAAUGAAAGUUAGCUUAAUUUUCUCAAACUUAUGGCCUUUGUAUUUGCAUCUACCAUUGAUCGAGAAUAUGAUGGCGAAGUUGGAUCCCACAUUUUGUGAUUACUUGAUAAGAAUUGGAGAUGAAACGGAGAAAGAACAUAGUUGUAAAUGCAUUAAACUUCCAAACAAUAUAGUUUUGCCAUUUGAAGAUGAAAUUACAUCUUUAAAAAAUUUGAUACAUCAUGUUUUUCCAGAUAUAGAAGCAUAUGCUGAUAAUCUCUAUGCGAUGGUAAAUCAAGUUAUUCUUACGCCUCAAAUGAAGGUGUUGAUCACAUUAACCGAAUUUUGCUCGAACAGAUUCCAAGUGAAAUGUUCGCAUAUUACAGUUUCAAUGAAGCAAUUGAUGAAUCAGAACAAAGCUUGCAAGAAGAUUUUUUUGAAUAGUCUAACCCCAAAUGGUAUUCCACAGCAUGAAUUGAAACUUAAGAUAAAUUGUCGUGUCAUGUUAUUGCGAAAUAUCAAUCCUUCUGAAGGAUUGUACAAUGAGACACGCCUUACUUGUCAAAAGUUUCAAAAGAUCGUAAUUCUUGCUGAAAUCACAACUGACGAGUAUUGUGGAAAAUAUGUUUUCUUGUCAAGAAUCCCUUCUAUACCUCUAAAAAAUGAUCAAAACUCAAUUCAAUUCAAAAGAACUCAAUUUCCAAUCAGACUGUGCUUCGCAAUGACGAUAAACAAAGCACAGGGUCAAACGCUUGAUUUUGUGGGUUUGUAUUCUGUCAUGAUCAACUUUAUGUAGCAUUAUCAAGGACAAAAACAAGCACAUCUAUCAAAGCUCUACUUCAACCAUCAAAAGCAGAAAAUUUUCACAAAACAUGUACCAAAAAUGUUGUCUACAAAGAAAUUUUUCCGUUCAUAAAUAUGUCAGAAAGAUCCGAAAAAUAAGACAUUGACCCCCACAUGCGUUUUAGGUUUCUUUGUGGAACUUCAUACAAUUCUUGUCUUACUUCAACGGCCUUCUAAAUCUUGGCUUUAUCAAAGGUUUGUAUCAAUUCCCCACUUUUUUUUUUUCCCUGAUUUCCUUAUGUUUAUUUGGAUUUAUCUAAUGUUUACCAUUCAGACUAGGUAUAUUUGUUUUUGCUACAAAUGAUUUUCCUGUUUUGUUAAACAAUUUUUCAUAUUUUCUUAUAACCUUUUAUUGUAAUAUAUAUGUUCAUAUCAACUGUAACUUUAAGUUUUCAUCACACCGAUUGAUUUUGCAAACUUGUAUUUUUUGUAUUUCAUGAAUUUCUUCCAUUCACUUAAGUUAAAUACUAGAAAGUCUAGUUAACGAUGUUUGUUACAACAGACAAGUCCUAUUGACCACGUAGAAGUGUGUUUAUUACUUUAUAGUAUGCUAAAAUUAUUACCAUUCUUCUUUCUUAUCAUUUCUUGGUGCAUGACACUGGAAAUGUUUUAUUGUGGAAUAAGAUAUUCGUUUCACGAAGUAUUUUUCAUUUCUUUGCUUAAAAUAUCAUAUUAUUCUUAUUCAUGUAUUAUAAUUACUAUUGGGAUAUUUGGAAUAAUUUUGAGUCUUUGGAUAAUACACUUUCCUUAUAUAUGUUAUUGUAUUUCGAGGUGCAUCCUGCAACAUUCAACUUACACUUGCUUGUAAUAUUUAUACAUUGUCAUCAAACUAAUAUCUUCUUAUUUCUAAACAAAAUAAUUUGGGCCAGCUUUCAAAGUUUUACUUUGCCUAUGUACUAUUAUCAUCUCAAUUUGAUGGCCUACAGCUGAAAUAGCCAGUAGCGUUUAAGGGGAGCAAAUACAUAUUGUUCCAUAGAUGCAUGUGUUAUAUGCACCUAUAUAUUUAUGUACCUUUUCAUUUAUUGAAUUUAAUGUUAUGGUUUGACUUUGUUGAUUUGGCAUCAAAUAUGUUGUUCAUUAGUUCAAAGAGUUAUAUUUCAGAUUCAAUUGUAUCAUUUUAUAAAGUUGCCAACUUUUUGUGAAUACUUUCUUCUGUCAUUUUUUGUUCAUCACCAAGUCAAACUAAAGCGUUCAGUUUUGGGUUAAUUGUGUUCAUGCAUGAUUUAUUGAUGUAUUGGAUUGUUUGAAUUUCUUUUGAAAAAUAUGUUCCAUAUCAUAUCUUAGUUUAUUUUUUAUUAUUAUUAUUAUUAUUAUUAUUAUUAUUAUUAUUAUUAUUAUUAUUUACACGGUUUAGUUUCACCACCAGGGUCCAAAAAUGAAUCUUGGUGCUAAGGGCUAGAUAGAUUGGCUUCUAGAUCUGCUCAAUACUAUGCAAGGGUAUGUUUUGCAAAAUGGUUUGUUGUUUUGAUUUAUACAUAUCAGCUGUAUCUUUUACUUUAGAAUCUCCGUUUCAAUAAAUUUUCCUUUUAUGGAAGAAAAAAAAUGUUGUACUGACCUUUUCCCUUUGCAUUCUAAUAUUCUAGGAGAAGUGUUUUACGAUACCUUGUGGUCCUUCUGCUCUGGCUAUUAAAGCAGCGGCAUGGUGCUAAUUGCCAUUGACUAAUGAACAAUUGCAAAUAAAACUGAAUAAUUAUUUAUGAUUUCUUGUAAUAAAAUUUUUCGAAUGGUGUAGAGAUACCAUUGUGAUUAUUUAUGAUUUCUUGUGAUUAAAUAAAACUGAACAGAAGUGAAUAAUGAACCUUUGCGUACUAAAAGCUCUACGAGCCUUGAGGUAAAAAAUACUAGGUCUUUCGAUCACUUCAAUUUGCAAACUUAGUUUCAUAUGCUCUUUUUUACUUUAUAUAGGUUGAUGCACAUCCUCAGCAAAUAAAUCUGCAUCUUUCUAUUUUAAUUUUAAAUAGGCAACCAGUUUUGCCAACUGUGAUUAAUUAUUUUGGUAAAAUUUUCUAUUAUUGUUGUUUCCUAAUUAUACUUGUCUUCACACGAGAAUUCUAUUAAAAUAUGUUCUUAUUAUUAUCUAAAAUCUUCUUACUCAUUAGACUAUAGGGAUAGAAUUCAUCGCUAUGCCUUGAAUAAGUGGACUACGUAUAUAGCCAAUUCUUUUUAGAUUGCUCCUCUGAGUAAAAUUCUUGAUUAUUAAGAGCGUUUCUUUCUUGAGACAUUCAAAUUUUUGCUGUAUCCCCUCUCAUUUCGUAUGUGUUAAAUCUAAUCAUCAGUUUAAGCAUUUUCCUAAUCAAUGUUCGCUAAAUGUUCUUCAUUUCUGCUAUAACCUGCUUCAUAAGUUAUCUUUUAUUUUUUCCUCCUUUUUGAAAAGCUACUAUAAUGGGCUUCCUUUGCAUCAUGAUACAAAAAGAGGCCUUGACCAAACUGUAAAGUUGCUUCUUUCACAUGUAAGUGUGUACAAUUUUUGUCUAUUAAAUGUUUUCUCCAUAAUUUAGGUCAUGAUGUUUCAUUGACAAAUAGUAUCUUGUUUUAGCAACGUCAUUCGCACUAUAGAAGUAUUUUUUUUUUCCUCUUACCAUCAUUUUAGCAUAUCAAUUCUGAUAUAUCUAAAUACUUUACAUGUUCAUCAUGCGGGGAGCAAAUACUGACAUUUUCCCAUUAUGCUUAUGAGGGGCACAUGUGUUUAUUCUCUGGUUGGUUGAGAGAGUUUUACGGGCCUAGCUUUCUUAAACUAAUGCACAUCAAAUGCUUUCAAGAAAACUAUGUGAGUAUUAUAUUUACAAUUUACACACAUUCAUUAUAUCCUCCAUAGUGUUGUAACUUGUAUCUUUAGUUGCUCUUUGUAUUAUCUUGUUUACUCAUUUUGUAUCAGUGACUUUUUGAAAGAUUAUUUUACCAUCUAUGCUUACAAGAAGCUCUUGUUAAUACUUGUGCAGUUGGAUGGUUGUGAUCACUUUACCAUGCUUCCUCCUGUUUUUUAAUGUCACGUCUUUUUUUCUGUUAUCGUCUUUUAUCAGUAGGACCAACAAAAGUUUUUUGACACUGCUACAUAUCAGCUUCGUUGCUACAAUAAUAUGGGUUUGCUCUGUUAUGUGUAUGUGGCCAAAAUAGUAGGAUAUUGAUGUAUGUUUUUGUAUUUUGUACAACGUUGUUGAAACUAGCAAUCAAGUGCCUCAAUUAGCUAAAAUUGUACUUCACCAUGUCGUGUGUGUACAUAUGUGUAUCUAAACUCUACAGAGCAUUAUCAUUUUGUCUAUUACGU